GGGGAAUAUUGGACAAUGGGCGAAAGCCUGAUCCAGCAAUGCCGCGUGAGUGAUGAAGGCCUUAGGGUUGUAAAGCUCUUUUACCCGGGAUGAUAAUGACAGUACCGGGAGAAUAAGCCCCGGCUAACUCCGUGCCAGCAGCCGCGGUAAUACGGAGGGGGCUAGCGUUGUUCGGAAUUACUGGGCGUAAAGCGCACGUAGGCGGCUUUGUAAGUUAGAGGUGAAAGCCCAGAGCUCAACUCUGGAAUUGCCUUUUAGACUGCAUCGCUUGAAUCAUGGAGAGGUCAGUGGAAUUCCGAGUGCAGAGGUGAAAUUCGUAGAUAUUCGGAGGAACACCAGUGGCGAAGGCGGCUCACUGGCUCGAUACUGACGCUGAGGUGCGAAAGCGUGGGGAGCAAA
Molecule: ribosomal RNA, 399 nt
Filed under: uncultured bacterium
Lineage: Bacteria
Description: bacterial SSU rRNA
Rfam family: Bacterial small subunit ribosomal RNA
Source: RNAcentral